UACGUAGGUGACUAGCGUUGUCCGGAUUUACUGGGCGUAAAGAGCGCGCAGGCGGUCGUUCAAGUCGAGUGUGAAAGCCCCCGGCUCAACUGGGGAGGGUCAUUCGAUACUGAUCGACUCGAAGGCAGGAGAGGGAAGCGGAAUUCCCGGUGUAGUGGUGAAAUGCGUAGAUAUCGGGAGGAACACCAGUGGCGAAGGCGGCUUCCUGGCCUGUUCUUGACGCUGAGGCGCGAAAGCUAGGGGAGCGAACAGG
This 253-nucleotide ribosomal RNA is filed under the name uncultured bacterium. Its description in RNAcentral is "partial 16S ribosomal RNA". It matches the Rfam family "Bacterial small subunit ribosomal RNA", at positions 524 to 776 of the family's 1533-position model. The record is from RNAcentral.